UACGUAGGUGGCGAACGUUAUCCGGAGUGACUGGGUGUAAAGGGUCCGUAGGCGGGCCGUUAAGUCUGACGUGAAAGCGCCCGGCUCAACUGGGCGAGUGCGUUGGAAACUGAUGGUCUUGACUCACGCAGAGGUCGGCGGAAUUCCCGGUGUAGUGGUGGAAUGCGUAGAGAUCGGGAGGAACCUCGAAAGCGAAGGCAGCCGACUGGGGGAUGAGUGACGCUGAGGGACGAAAGCGUGGGGAGCGAACAGG
RNAcentral lists this ribosomal RNA (253 nucleotides) under uncultured bacterium. RNAcentral describes it as "partial 16S ribosomal RNA". It matches the Rfam family "Bacterial small subunit ribosomal RNA", at positions 524 to 776 of the family's 1533-position model. The record is from RNAcentral.